GUCACACGCAUCUGUGCCCUCGGGCAAAUCAAUCACCAACUGCUCUCUACUAUAGCGACGUCCUCUCACAAAGCUACCAUCAGCAGGGCUGUGCAGAUAACACAAAAGUCAUACGAAGGAAGGUGCUUCUUACUUUCCACCCGGCACAGGAAUGACGAUCCCUUGACCGUGCACAGCCUGCUGGCCAGGCUUGAAGUAGUAAAGAAAGGUGUCUGUAUAUAGAGGUCAAAUAAAUGCAUGCAUGAUAUUUCACUUUGGACUUUAUUUAUACAUAGCCAUUUGUAAUACUUGCAUUUGCAAAAGUAAAACUGUUUAUGUUGGCACAGGUUUAUGAGGCACAGCUGCCAUAUGCACUGGUCAAUUUCCAUGCAAUUAACAUGUCAAGCUGCUUAGCAAAAUAGCAUAUGGUCAGCCAGUGCGGGUGUGCUCAAUCUUCCAUGUAACGUGUUAAAAGUUGCCAGAUCAGGAGAUACGGCCAUGUAUGCAUGCUGCAACGCCAAGUGCACUGUAAAAUACUGUGUAUGAAAAUUCUUGUCCAAAUUACCGAUAAUAAUGUCCAACCAAUAAUGGCCUAUAUACCGUAUAGCGGGUAUUAUUUCGAGGGUAUAAAUUUUCGCGGAAAUGCCUUUAGAAAGGUUUUCACAGAUUUAAUUUUCGUGGAAUAGCAGCCUUUUUACAGCAUGCAUGCAUGCAUGCGAUAUUAAAUUCGCGAUUAUAAAUGUUCGCGGUACAUGUAUAUACCCUCAAAAUAUACACGCUAUACGGUAGCUAAAAGUAUUUUGUGCACUGCAUGCAAGCUCAAUUCUCAUUAUAAAACCGUAUACAAAACAAAACACAGUGUUGCAAAAAUACAACAUUUUUCAUUUUUAUUUUAAACACAAUAAUACUUCCAUAUAUAUAUACACACAACUCGCAGUGGACUAUUAGUGCUAUAAUUAUAUACAUCCAAGGCAUGAUCUUUGCUAUGCAUUCUGAUCCAUGCUCUGAUCUUUGCUAUGAUCUUUGUUAUGAUCGUUGUUAUGCAUGCAUCAUGCAUGAUCUUUGCUUAGCCUCGAUCCCAGGCCGAGUUUUUGCUUUUAUAACGGUUAGGCGAACAACUAGGCCUGGUACUAGUUGUCUGCGCAUGCGUCAGUCGUUCGUCAGAUUCUGACGAAUGGAUAUUCUCGUUCACUUUCGUGACAACUAUCGUGUACUAGAAGUCAGUUCCCGUUUUAUCAUUAUUGGAAUCAAUUGGAAUGGCUCUUAGUUGAAGCUUCUCUCUUCUCUGAAGCUUAGAAAACAUUAUUCUGAAGACUGAACAACAAGGGAAGAGGUAUAGAAGCUUUGUCAAGCUUGUUAAGGUCAGAUAUUUUUGUGUGGGCCCUAUAUGCUAUCAAGUCUUGUUCAUGUUUGGCAAGAUCUAGGUAGACUAUAGUUUCAUCAUUAAUAUGGUGGAUCAAGUAAAGAGUGUGAGCUAGAGAACUUGGUGCUGCCAUCCUCAGCUUGUCGACAAUGACACUAUAACCUGUUUAAUACGAGAAAUUUAAUAUGUAUAGAUCUACACGUACUUCUCUGUACAGGAGCAAUGGCUAAUAUCCAGCUAUCCCAACAGUGCUCCUCUUGGCUAUACUAACGGACGAGACUGGACAGUUUGAGGACUGGAGUAUGCAUGACCUGCUCGUUCGAGCGUUGCUGGGUACCUCAGAGGCAUCAAGAGAAUCUACGUUUUCUUAAGCAAAAUUUAACUGAGUUACGAGUUGGGGCCUAGAAUCAGAGAAGUCCAGCAGCCUGCUAAAUAUUUUUGAAAUGUAAUUUGAAGGCAUUUAAUCAUCCUAAAGUUGCCCUGGGUCACUGUAAUCGUGCUGCAGCACAACUGGCAACUCCCCAGGCCCUUGUGAAGCAGCUCCCUAUGUGCAUCUUUUGUGUACUCACUCCGUGCAUUUUCUGUGUACAAAUUUCGAUUUAUUAAAUAAUUAUUUUUG
Halichondria panicea is the source of this 1961-nucleotide long non-coding RNA. RefSeq lists it as uncharacterized. The record is from RefSeq and is a predicted model, not a curated record. NCBI's taxonomy places the organism in Eukaryota, Metazoa, Porifera, Demospongiae, Suberitida, Halichondriidae. The transcript has 3 exons.